AGUGGCGGACGGGUGAGUAACGCGUGGGAAUCUACCUGGUAGCGGGGGAUAACUCGGGGAAACUCGAGCUAAUACCGCAUACGCCCUACGGGGGAAAGGAGGGGAUCUUCGGACCUUUCACUAUCAGAUGAGCCCGCGUUAGAUUAGCUUGUUGGUGAGGUAAUGGCUCACCAAGGCGACGAUCUAUAGCUGGUCUGAGAGGAUGAUCAGCCACACUGGGACUGAGACACGGCCCAGACUCCUACGGGAGGCAGCAGUGGGGAAUAUUGCGCAAUGGGCGAAAGCCUGACGCAGCCAUGCCGCGUGUGUGAAGAAGGCCUUCGGGUUGUAAAGCACUUUCAAUAGGGAGGAAAACUUGUAGGUUAAUACCCUGCAAGCCUGACGUUACCUAUAGAAGAAGCACCGGCUAACUCCGUGCCAGCAGCCGCGGUAAUACGGAGGGUGCGAGCGUUAAUCGGAAUUACUGGGCGUAAAGCGCGCGUAGGCGGCUUCGUCAGUCAGAUGUGAAAGCCCCGGGCUCAACCUGGGAACUGCAUUUGAUACUGCGGAGCUAGAGUAUGGUAGAGGAUAGUGGAAUUCCAGGUGUAGCGGUGAAAUGCGUAGAUAUCUGGAGGAACAUCAGUGGCGAAGGCGACUGUCUGGACCAAUACUGACGCUGAGG
Molecule: ribosomal RNA, 661 nt
Filed under: Spongiibacter tropicus
Lineage: Bacteria; Pseudomonadati; Pseudomonadota; Gammaproteobacteria; Cellvibrionales; Spongiibacteraceae
Description: bacterial SSU rRNA
Rfam family: Bacterial small subunit ribosomal RNA
Source: RNAcentral